AAUUAUUCUCAGUUAUCCUUGUUGGUCUCUCCGCGGGUGGUGGUGUCAGAAUUAAUCCCAUCCUACUUUCUUCACUCAUCACUGUAACCACUACCUCGUUAAUGUUUAGUAUUUUUUUUCUUUGUGAAGAAUUUGUUUUCUAACUUCAUCAAAGUCAGAGUUGAGACCCACCAAAAUAUUAUAGACUUUAUCUUAUUCAAUGUACUCCUUAAGUGUUUU
Molecule: long non-coding RNA, 219 nt
Filed under: Lathyrus oleraceus (garden pea)
Lineage: Eukaryota; Viridiplantae; Streptophyta; Magnoliopsida; Fabales; Fabaceae
Description: Pisum sativum (pea) long non-coding RNA (PSAT_LNC029626)
Source: RNAcentral